This is a non-coding RNA of Acanthosepion pharaonis, 110 nucleotides long. NCBI's taxonomy places the organism in Eukaryota, Metazoa, Mollusca, Cephalopoda, Sepiida, Sepiidae. The record is from the annotation of a GenBank genome assembly.
CGUCCGCAUCACGUUGGAACACCGGUUCCCGUAAAAUCACCGAAGUUAAGUAACGUUGAAUCUAGUUAGUACCUAGAUGGAUAACCUCAUGGGAAUACCUGGUGCUGUAA